RNAcentral lists this ribosomal RNA (497 nucleotides) under uncultured bacterium. Its description in RNAcentral is "partial 16S ribosomal RNA". It matches the Rfam family "Bacterial small subunit ribosomal RNA", at positions 28 to 507 of the family's 1533-position model. The record is from RNAcentral.
GAUGAACGCUGGCGGCGUGCCUAAUACAUGCAAGUCGAGCGACCAGACGAGGAGCUUGCUCCUCUGACGUUAGCGGCGGACGGGUGAGUAACACGUGGAUAACCUACCUAUAAGACUGGGAUAACUUCGGGAAACCGGAGCUAAUACCGGAUAAUAUAUUGAACCGCAUGGUUCAAUAGUGAAAGACGGUUUUGCUGUCACUUAUAGAUGGUUCCGCGCCGCAUUAGCUAGUUGGUAAGGUAAAGGCUUACCAAGGCAACGAUGCGUAGCCGACCUGAGAGGGUGAUCGGCCACACUGGAACUGAGACACGGUCCAGACUCCUACGGGAGGCAGCAGUAGGGAAUCUUCCGCAAUGGGCGAAAGCCUGACGGAGCAACGCCGCGUGAGUGAUGAAGGUCUUCGGAUCGUAAAACUCUGUUAUUAGGGAAGAACAAAUGUGUAAGUAACUAUGCACGUCUUGACGGUACCUAAUCAGAAAGCCACGGCUAACUACGUG